UCUCCGGUAGCCUAUUGGCUAGCACACGCGCCUGCCAGCGUGGAGCCUGGGCUCGACUCUCAGCCGGAGAU
Molecule: non-coding RNA, 71 nt
Organism: Hymenopellis radicata
Lineage: Eukaryota; Fungi; Basidiomycota; Agaricomycetes; Agaricales; Physalacriaceae
Source: the annotation of a GenBank genome assembly